GGGGGUGUAGCUCAGUUGGGAGAGCACCUGCCUUGCAAGCAGGGGGCCAAGAGUUCGAAUCUCUCCAUCUCCA
RNAcentral lists this transfer RNA (73 nucleotides) under Lachnoanaerobaculum sp. Marseille-Q4761. RNAcentral's name for it is "tRNA-Ala". It matches the Rfam family "tRNA". Rfam says of the family: Transfer RNA (tRNA) molecules are approximately 80 nucleotides in length. Their secondary structure includes four short double-helical elements and three loops (D, anti-codon, and T loops). Lineage: Bacteria; Bacillati; Bacillota; Clostridia; Lachnospirales; Lachnospiraceae. The record is from RNAcentral.